Vespa mandarinia (Asian giant hornet) is the source of this 216-nucleotide small nucleolar RNA. RefSeq annotates it as small nucleolar RNA U3. The record is from RefSeq and is a predicted model, not a curated record. Lineage: Eukaryota; Metazoa; Arthropoda; Insecta; Hymenoptera; Vespidae.
AAGAUCAUACUUCACAGGAUCAUUUCUGUAGUAUAUCUUCGGAUCUGCUCUGCGAAAAGCUGAGCUGAUGCAGCCACGAAGAUGAGAUAUAGCUCUCUUCCUUGAGCGUGAGAAAGACUUACAAUCUAACUAUUUAGUUCGGUUGUAGUCAUCGAUGAUCGUUCACUCUUCUUACUCAGUAGGAAGGGCCAUGGGAAGUAGAGCUUUCUGAGUGGU